This 274-nucleotide ribosomal RNA is filed under the name uncultured bacterium. RNAcentral's name for it is "partial 16S ribosomal RNA". It matches the Rfam family "Bacterial small subunit ribosomal RNA", at positions 523 to 796 of the family's 1533-position model. The record is from RNAcentral.
AUACGGAGGGUGCGAGCGUUAAUCGGAAUUACUGGGCGUAAAGCGUGCGUAGGCGGUUUGCUAAGUCAGAUGUGAAAGCCCCGGGCUUAACCUGGGAACUGCAUUUGAUACUGGCAGACUAGAGUAUGAUAGAGGGGGGUAGAAUUCCUGGUGUAGCGGUGAAAUGCGUAGAUAUCAGGAGGAAUACCAGUGGCGAAGGCGGCCCCCUCGAUCAAUACUGACGCUGAGGUACGAAAGCGUGGGGAGCGAACAGGAUUAGAAACCCUAGUAGUCC